RNAcentral lists this ribosomal RNA (611 nucleotides) under uncultured Alphaproteobacteria bacterium. RNAcentral's name for it is "bacterial SSU rRNA". It matches the Rfam family "Bacterial small subunit ribosomal RNA", at positions 9 to 654 of the family's 1533-position model. The record is from RNAcentral. Lineage: Bacteria; Pseudomonadati; Pseudomonadota; Alphaproteobacteria.
UAGUUUGAUUCUGGCUCAGAACGAACGCUGGCGGCGUGCCUAACACAUGCAAGUCGAACGGAGUAUCAGGGCUUGCUCUGAUACUUAGUGGCGCACGGGUGAGUAACACGUGGGAAUCUGCCCCAGAGUACGGGAUAACUAUUGGAAACGAUAGCUAAUACCGUAUAUUGCCGAGAGGUGAAAGAUUCAUCGCUCUGGGAUGAGCCCGCGUCUGAUUAGGUAGUUGGUGGGGUAAUGGCCCACCAAGCCGACGAUCAGUAGCUGGUCUGAGAGGACGACCAGCCACACUGGAACUGAGACACGGUCCAGACUCCUACGGGAGGCAGCAGUGGGGAAUAUUGGACAAUGGGCGAAAGCCUGAUCCAGCGACGCCGCGUGAAUGAUGAAGGCCUUAGGGUUGUAAAGUUCUUUUGGCAGGGACGAUAAUGACGGUACCUGCAGAAUAAGCCCCGGCAAACUCUGUGCCAGCAGCCGCGGUAAGACAGAGGGGGCUAGCGUUGUUCGGAAUUACUGGGCGUAAAGGGCGCGUAGGCGGUCUUGUAAGUUAGAAGUGAAAUCCUGGGGCUCAACCUCAGAACUGCUUUUAAUACUGCUUGACUAGAGUCCGGUAG